RNAcentral lists this ribosomal RNA (383 nucleotides) under uncultured Bacteroidales bacterium. RNAcentral's name for it is "bacterial SSU rRNA". It matches the Rfam family "Bacterial small subunit ribosomal RNA", at positions 32 to 414 of the family's 1533-position model. Lineage: Bacteria; Pseudomonadati; Bacteroidota; Bacteroidia; Bacteroidales. The record is from RNAcentral.
AACGCUAGCUACAGGCUUAACACAUGCAAGUCGAGGGGUAGCAGGGUAGCAAUACCGCUGGCGACCGGCGCACGGGUGAGUAACACGUAUCCAACCUUCCCAUAACUCGGGGAUAGCCUUUCGAAAGAAAGAUUAAUACCCGAUAGUACUUUUUUAGGGCAUCUUAGAAAAGUUAAAGAUUUAUUGGUUAUGGAUGGGGAUGCGUUCCAUUAGAUAGUUGGUGAGGUAACGGCUCACCAAGUCUUCGAUGGAUAGGGGUUCUGAGAGGAAGGUCCCCCACAUUGGUACUGAGACACGGACCAAACUCCUACGGGAGGCAGCAGUGAGGAAUAUUGGUCAAUGGGCGAGAGCCUGAACCAGCCAAGUAGCGUGAAGGAUGACGG